UCGUAGGCACUAUGGAUGACGUAUUUUAU
RNAcentral lists this unclassified non-coding RNA (29 nucleotides) under Dictyostelium discoideum. The record is from RNAcentral. Lineage: Eukaryota; Evosea; Eumycetozoa; Dictyosteliales; Dictyosteliaceae.